RNAcentral lists this ribosomal RNA (506 nucleotides) under uncultured bacterium. RNAcentral describes it as "partial 16S ribosomal RNA". It matches the Rfam family "Bacterial small subunit ribosomal RNA", at positions 29 to 523 of the family's 1533-position model. The record is from RNAcentral.
AGUGAACGCUGGCGGUAGGCCUAACACAUGCAAGUCGAACGGCAGCACAGGAGAGCUUGCUCUCUGGGUGGCGAGUGGCGGACGGGUGAGGAACACAUAGGACUCUACUUUUUCGUGGGGGAUAACGUAGGGAAACUUACGCUAAUACCGCAUACGCCCUACGGGUGAAAGAAGGGUACCUUCGGGCCUUGUGCUCUUGACUGUGCCGAUGUCGGAUUAGCUAGUUGGCGGGGUAAAGGCCCACGAAGGCGACGAUCCGUAGCUGGUCUGAGAGGAUGAUCAGCCACACUGGAACUGAGACACGGUCCAGACUCCUACGGGAGGCAGCAGUGGGGAAUAUUGGACAAUGGGCGCAAGCCUGAUCCAGCCAUACCGCGUGGGUGAAGAAGGCCUUCGGGUUGUAAAGCCCUUUUGUUGGGAAAGAAAUCCAGCUGGCUAAUACCCGGUUGGGAUGACGGUACCCAAAGGAUAAGCACCGGCUAACUUCGUGCCAGCCGCCGCGGUAA